AGAGUUUGAUCAUGGCUCAGAUUGAUCGCUGGCGGCAGGCCUAACACAUGCAAGUCGAACGGUAACAGAAAGCAGCUUGCCGCUUUGCUGACGAGUGGCGGACGGGUGAGUAAUGUCUGGGAAACUGCCCGAUGGAGGGGGAUAACUACUGGAAACGGUAGCUAAUACCGCAUAACGUCGCAAGACCAAGGAGGGGGACCUUCGGGCCUCUUGCCAUCGGAUGUGCCCAGAUGGGAUUAGCUAGUAGGUGGGGUAAAGGCUCACCUAGGCGACGAUCCCUAGCUGGUCUGAGAGGAUGACCAGCCACACUGGAACUGAGACACGGUCCAGACUCCUACGGGAGGCAGCAGUGGGGAAUAUUGCACAAUGGGCGCAAGCCUGAUGCAGCCAUGCCGCGUGUAUGAAGAAGGCCUUCGGGUUGUAAAGUACUUUCAGCGGGGAGGAAGGGAGUAAAGUUAAUACCUUUGCUCAUUGACGUUACCCGCAGAAGAAGCACCGGCUAACUCCGUGCCAGCAGCCGCGGUAUACGGAGGGUGCAAGCGUUAAUCGGAAUUACUGGGCGUAAAGCGCACGCAGGCGGUUUGUUAAGUCAGAUGUGAAAUCCCCGGGCUCAACCUGGGAACUGCAUCUGAUACUGGCAAGCUUGAGCCUCGUAGAGGGGGGUAGAAUUCCAGGUGUAGCGGUGAAAUGCGUAGAGAUCUGGAGGAAUACCGGUGGCGAAGGCGGCCCCCUGGACGAAGACUGACGCUCAGGUGCGAAAGCGUGGGGAGCAAACAGGAUUAGAUACCCUGGUAGUCCAC
RNAcentral lists this ribosomal RNA (800 nucleotides) under uncultured bacterium. RNAcentral describes it as "bacterial SSU rRNA". It matches the Rfam family "Bacterial small subunit ribosomal RNA", at positions 8 to 798 of the family's 1533-position model. The record is from RNAcentral.